AGCUCCAAUAGCGUAUAUUAAAGCUGUUGUGUUUUUAAAAAGCUCGUAGUUGGAUUUCUGCUAAGGACGACCGGUCCGCCCUCUGGGUGAGUAUCUGGCUUGGCCUUGGCAUUGUCUUGGAGAACGUAACUGCACUUGACUGUGUGGUACGGUAUCCAGGACUUUUACUUUGAGGAAAUUAGAGUGUUUCAAGCAGGCGCAUGCCUUGAAUACAUUAGCAUGGGAUAAUCAGAUAGGAUCUUGGUUCUAUUUUGUUGGUUUCUGGAGCUGAGGUAAUGAUCAAUAGGGAUAGUUGGGGGCAUUCGUAUUCGACUGUCAGAGGUGAAAUUCUUGGAUUCGUUAAAGGCGGAUUACUGCGAAAGCAUUUGCCAAGGAUGUUUUCA
Molecule: ribosomal RNA, 383 nt
Filed under: uncultured eukaryote
Lineage: Eukaryota
Description: SSU rRNA
Rfam family: Eukaryotic small subunit ribosomal RNA
Source: RNAcentral